Long non-coding RNA from Bufo bufo (common toad), 162 nucleotides. RefSeq lists it as uncharacterized. The record is from RefSeq and is a predicted model, not a curated record. The transcript has 3 exons. Lineage: Eukaryota; Metazoa; Chordata; Amphibia; Anura; Bufonidae.
GAGAGUAUAUGUGAGAAAAAUUAACAUGUGGAGUAAAUGUGGGUAGAAAUAAAGGGAGGCAAAAACAAUAAUAAAAUACCGAUAGGAGUUUGUUAUAAGCCACCUAAUAUACCAGAGUCCACAGAAAAUCUACUACUAAGGGAAAUAGAUGAGGAGGCAAAU